UUGGAUGAGCCCGCGGCCUAUCAGCUUGUUGGUGGGGUAAUGGCCUACCAAGGCGACGACGGGUAGCCGGCCUGAGAGGGCGACCGGCCACACUGGGACUGAGACACGGCCCAGACUCCUACGGGAGGCAGCAGUGGGGAAUAUUGCACAAUGGGCGCAAGCCUGAUGCAGCGACGCCGCGUGAGGGAUGACGGCCUUCGGGUUGUAAACCUCUUCAUGCAGCGAGCGAACGCGAAAGUGACGGUACCUGCAGAUGAAGCGCCGCCC
RNAcentral lists this ribosomal RNA (267 nucleotides) under uncultured Actinomycetales bacterium. RNAcentral describes it as "partial 16S ribosomal RNA". It matches the Rfam family "Bacterial small subunit ribosomal RNA", at positions 221 to 498 of the family's 1533-position model. Lineage: Bacteria; Bacillati; Actinomycetota; Actinomycetes; Actinomycetales. The record is from RNAcentral.